UAAUAAAAAAAUAAGUUCAAAGAUUAGAAUCUUCUGUGAUAGUAUAACUCUAAAAGUGUUCAAGAGAACAGAUUAAUAGAGUGAAUGUAAUUAUAGGACGAGAAAUCAUUUUUAAAAAUUAAGUCUUACUUCAUUUAGGUAGCAUGACAGCUAGAUGUCAGAUGCUUUAUUUUUCUCGCCAUGCAAAUUAUACCCACGAAUCUGCUAAAGAUGUGUUGGUCUUAAUGUUAAGACACAAUUUCCCACAAAACUGAAGCAUUGUGAGUUCUAUACUGAGAGGCGUUUGGUCAAAAUGUAUGCUAGACCAUUCUUUGUUCAAAGGAGACUCAGGAAAUGGUCAUCAACAUAACGCAGAGAUUCACGCUCUACAGAAAACUGAACGGUUGACCCGUUUCUCUGAGGUGCUACUCUGGCUUGGUCUGCUUGAUGAAUGAAUGAGUGAAAAUAUGAAUAAAUGAAUGAGUUACCUUUAUGUAUGACUUUUUGGCUCUGUAAAAA
Long non-coding RNA from Mustela erminea (ermine), 498 nucleotides. RefSeq lists it as uncharacterized. The transcript is spliced from 2 exons. NCBI's taxonomy places the organism in Eukaryota, Metazoa, Chordata, Mammalia, Carnivora, Mustelidae. The record is from RefSeq and is a predicted model, not a curated record.